CAAAAACAUCUUUUCUUGUUAGUUUUUGAAGUAUGGCCUGCCCACUGACGUUUAUAGAGGUUGAAGGGCCGCGGUAUUUUGACCGUGCAAAGGUAGCAUAAUCAUUAGUUCUUUAAUUGUGAUCUGGUAUGAAUGGCUUGACGAGAUAUGAGCUGUCUUAAAGGUAUUUUCUAUUGAAUUUAGUUUUUGAGUUAAAAUUCUUAGAUGUUUUUAUGGGACGAGAAGACCCUAUAGAGUUUUACAUCUAGCUCUUCUUUUUUAUUAUGUUUGUUUAUUUAUUUUGAGUUGGUUAGGUGUUUUGUUGGGGUGAUGGGAGGAACAAAAUUAACUCCUCUUUGAUUUUGUAUAUUUAUUUAUAUUUGU
RNAcentral lists this ribosomal RNA (363 nucleotides) under Microcerotermes pakistanicus. RNAcentral's name for it is "partial large subunit ribosomal RNA". The record is from RNAcentral. Lineage: Eukaryota; Metazoa; Arthropoda; Insecta; Blattodea; Termitidae.